Molecule: ribosomal RNA, 496 nt
Filed under: uncultured bacterium
Lineage: Bacteria
Description: partial 16S ribosomal RNA
Rfam family: Bacterial small subunit ribosomal RNA
Source: RNAcentral
AUGAACGCUGGCGGCGUGCCUAAUACAUGCAAGUCGAGCGAACGGACGAGAAGCUUGCUUUUCUGAUGUUAGCGGCGGACGGGUGAGUAACACGUGGAUAACCUACCUAUAAGACUGGGAUAACUUCGGGAAACCGGAGCUAAUACCGGAUAAUAUUUUGAACCGCAUGGUUCAAAAGUGAAAGACGGUCUUGCUGUCACUUAUAGAUGGAUCCGCGCUGCAUUAGCUAGUUGGUAAGGUAACGGCUUACCAAGGCAACGAUGCAUAGCCGACCUGAGAGGGUGAUCGGCCACACUGGAACUGAGACACGGUCCAGACUCCUACGGGAGGCAGCAGUAGGGAAUCGUCCGCAAUGGGCGAAAGCCUGACGGAGCAACGCCGCGUGAGUGAUGAAGGUCUUCGGAUCGUAAAACUCUGUUAUUAGGGAAGAACAUAUGUGUAAGUAACUGUGCACAUCUUGACGGUACCUAAUCAGAAAGCCACGGCUAACUACGUG